This 531-nucleotide ribosomal RNA is filed under the name Bacillus sp. (in: firmicutes). Its description in RNAcentral is "bacterial SSU rRNA". It matches the Rfam family "Bacterial small subunit ribosomal RNA", at positions 80 to 596 of the family's 1533-position model. Lineage: Bacteria; Bacillati; Bacillota; Bacilli; Caryophanales; Bacillaceae. The record is from RNAcentral.
GCUCUCAAGAAGUUAGCGGCGGACGGGUGAGUAACACGUGGGUAACCUGCCCAUAAGACUGGGAUAACUCCGGGAAACCGGGGCUAAUACCGGAUAACAUUUUGAACUGCAUGGUUCGAAAUUGAAAGGCGGCUUCGGCUGUCACUUAUGGAUGGACCCGCGUCGCAUUAGCUAGUUGGUGAGGUAACGGCUCACCAAGGCAACGAUGCGUAGCCGACCUGAGAGGGUGAUCGGCCACACUGGGACUGAGACACGGCCCAGACUCCUACGGGAGGCAGCAGUAGGGAAUCUUCCGCAAUGGACGAAAGUCUGACGGAGCAACGCCGCGUGAGUGAUGAAGGCUUUCGGGUCGUAAAACUCUGUUGUUAGGGAAGAACAAGUGCUAGUUGAAUAAGCUGGCACCUUGACGGUACCUAACCAGAAAGCCACGGCUAACUACGUGCCAGCAGCCGCGGUAAUACGUAGGUGGCAAGCGUUAUCCGGAAUUAUUGGGCGUAAAGCGCGCGCAGGUGGUUUCUUAAGUCUGAUGUG